GAUGAACGCUGGCGGCGUGCCUAAUACAUGCAAGUCGAGCGAACAGACGAGGAGCUUGCUCCUCUGACGUUAGCGGCGGACGGGUGAGUAACACGUGGAUAACCUACCUAUAAGACUGGGAUAACUUCGGGAAACCGGAGCUAAUACCGGAUAAUAUAUUGAACCGCAUGGUUCAAUAGUGAAAGACGGUUUUGCUGUCACUUAUAGAUGGAUCCGCGCCGCAUUAGCUAGUUGGUAAGGUAACGGCUUACCAAGGCAACGAUGCGUAGCCGACCUGAGAGGGUGAUCGGCCACACUGGAACUGAGACACGGUCCAGACUCCUACGGGAGGCAGCAGUAGGGAAUCUUCCGCAAUGGGCGAAAGCCUGACGGAGCAACGCCGCGUGAGUGAUGAAGGUCUUCGGAUCGUAAAGCUCUGUUAUUAGGGAAGAACAAAUGUGUAAGUAACUAUGCACGUCUUGACGGUACCGAAUCAGAAAGCCACGGCUAACUACGU
Molecule: ribosomal RNA, 496 nt
Filed under: uncultured bacterium
Lineage: Bacteria
Description: partial 16S ribosomal RNA
Rfam family: Bacterial small subunit ribosomal RNA
Source: RNAcentral